Molecule: ribosomal RNA, 433 nt
Filed under: uncultured bacterium
Lineage: Bacteria
Description: partial 16S ribosomal RNA
Rfam family: Bacterial small subunit ribosomal RNA
Source: RNAcentral
AACGAACGCUGGCGGCAUGCCUAACACAUGCAAGUCGAACGAGACCUUCGGGUCUGGUUGCGCUCGGGUGCGUUAAGUGUGAGAACCUGGACUAAGGCUUGGACUAACUGCCUGCAAGGGGUGCUAAUCCCGGGUAAAGUACUCGGACCAAAGAAUAAUCGCCUUUGGCGGGGUCCGCCAUGGAUUAGAAAGUUGGUAGUGUAAAAGCCCACCAAGGCGACGAGCCAUAGCUGGUCUGUGAGGAUGAUCAGCACCACUGGGACUGACACACGGCCCAGACUCCUACGGAUGGCAGAAGUGGGGAAUGUGGGACGAUGCGCGAGAGCCGGAGCCAGCAAUGCCGCAUGAGUGAUGAAGCCCGUAGGAUUGUGAAGCGCUUUUACCCGGGAUGAUAAUGACGGUACCGGGAGAAUAAGCUCCGGCUAACUCCGUG